AGGAUGAACGCUGGCGGCGUGCCUAACACAUGCAAGUCGAACGAGAAAGUGGAGCAAUCCAUGAGUAAAGUGGCGACCGGGUGAGUAACACGUGACUAACCUACCUUCGAGUGGGGGAUAACCUCGGGAAACCGGGGCUAAUACCGCAUAACAUCUUUGAAGUGGAAAUUUCGGAGAUCAAAGGAGCAAUUCGCUGGAAGAGGGGGUCGCGGCUGAUUAGCUAGUUGGCGGGGUAACGGCCCACCAAGGCUUAGAUCGGUAGCCGGCCUGAGAGGGCGCGACGGACCGACACUGGAACUGAAACACGGUCCAGACUCCUACGGGAUGCAGCAGUGGGGAAUUUUGCGCAAUGGGGGAAACCCUGACGCAGCAACGCCGCGUGGAGGAUGAAGUCCCUUGGGACGUAAACUCCUUUCGACCCGGACGAUAAUGACGGUACGGGUGGAAGAAGCCCCGGCUAACUUCGUGCCAGCAGCCGC
This 479-nucleotide ribosomal RNA is filed under the name uncultured bacterium. RNAcentral describes it as "SSU rRNA". It matches the Rfam family "Bacterial small subunit ribosomal RNA", at positions 26 to 518 of the family's 1533-position model. The record is from RNAcentral.